RNAcentral lists this ribosomal RNA (493 nucleotides) under uncultured bacterium. RNAcentral describes it as "partial 16S ribosomal RNA". It matches the Rfam family "Bacterial small subunit ribosomal RNA", at positions 28 to 523 of the family's 1533-position model. The record is from RNAcentral.
GAUGAACGCUAGCGGUGUGCCUUAUACAUGCAAGUCGAACGCCCGUAGCAAUACGGGAGUGGCAAACGGGUGAGUAACACGUGGAUAAUCUACCCUCGAGUGGGGAAUAACUCCGCGAAAGCGGAGCUAAUACCGCAUUCAGUGCGAAGGUGCAAUUCCUUUUCACUAAAGAUUUAUCGCUUGAGGAGGAGCCUGCGUCUGAUUAGCUAGUUGGUGGGGUAAUGGCCCACCAAGGCGACGAUCAGUAGCCGGUCUGAGAGGAUGAACGGCCACAUUGGGACUGAGACACGGCCCAAACUCCUACGGGAGGCAGCAGUGGAGAAUCUUCCGCAAUGGACGAAAGUAUGACGGAGCAACGCCGCGUGAGUGAAGAAGGUUUUCGGAUCGUAAAGCUCUGUUGUUUGAGACGAAUGUGCCUGUUUCGAAUAGGGAUAGGUAAUGACGGUAUUAAACGAGAAAGCCACGGCUAACUACGUGCCAGCCGCCGCGGUAA